Molecule: unclassified non-coding RNA, 406 nt
Filed under: soil metagenome
Description: partial contains 5.8S ribosomal RNA, internal transcribed spacer 2, and large subunit ribosomal RNA
Rfam family: 5.8S ribosomal RNA (bases 1-121)
Source: RNAcentral
GAUGAAGAACGCAGUGAAAUGCGAUAAGUAAUGUGAAUUGCAGAAUUCAGUGAAUCAUCGAAUCUUUGAACGCACCUUGCGCCCUUUGGCCAUUCCGAAGGGCAUGCCUGUUUGAGUAUCAUGAACACCUCAACUCUUCAUGGUUUUCCAUGAUGAGCUUGGACUUUGGGGGUCUUGCUGGCCUGUGGGUCGGCUCCUCUCAAAUGAAUCAGCUUGCCGGUUUUUGGUGGGCAUCACAGGUGUGAUAACUAUCUACGCUUGUGGUUUUCCACCAGGGUAACCUUCAGCAGUGGAGGUUCACUGGAGCUUACAAAUGUCUCUCCUCCGUGAGGACAGCCCUUUGAAUGUUUGAUCUCAAAUCAGGUAGGACUACCCGCUGAACUUAAGCAUAUCAAUAAGCGGAGGA